This 513-nucleotide ribosomal RNA is filed under the name uncultured bacterium. RNAcentral's name for it is "partial 16S ribosomal RNA". It matches the Rfam family "Bacterial small subunit ribosomal RNA", at positions 28 to 523 of the family's 1533-position model. The record is from RNAcentral.
GACGAACGCUGGCGGCAUGCCUAAUACAUGCAAGUCGAGCGAACAGAUGAAGUGCUUGCACUUCUGACGUUAGCGGCGAACGGGUGAGUAACACGUAAGGAAUCUACCUAUAAGCGGGGGAUAACAUUCGGAAACGGGUGCUAAUACCGCAUAAUAUCUUCUUCCGCAUGGAAGAAGAUUGAAAGACGGCUCUGCUGUCACUUAUAGAUGACCUUGCGGUGCAUUAGUUAGUUGGUGGGGUAACGGCCUACCAAGACGAUGAUGCAUAGCCGACCUGAGAGGGUGAUCGGCCAGAUUGGGACUGAGACACGGCCCAAACUCCUCCGGGAGGCAGCAGUAGGGAAUCUUCCGCAAUGGGCGAAAGCCUGACGGAGCAAUGCCGCGUGAGUGAAGAAGGCCUUCGGGUCGUAAAACUCUGUUAUAAGAGAAGAACAAAUUGUAGAGUAACUGCUACAGUCUUGACGGUAUCUUAUCAGAAAGCCACGGCUAACUACGUGCCAGCCGCCGCGGUAA